Small nucleolar RNA from Spea bombifrons (plains spadefoot toad), 217 nucleotides. RefSeq annotates it as small nucleolar RNA U3. The record is from RefSeq and is a predicted model, not a curated record. The transcript has a single exon. NCBI's taxonomy places the organism in Eukaryota, Metazoa, Chordata, Amphibia, Anura, Pelobatidae.
AAGACUAUACUUUCAGGGAUCAUUUCUAUAGUUUUUAACUGGAGAAAUGUGCUCGAAAGUGGUCAAACUCAGUAACCACGUUGAGGACUUUUAGUAUUCUCUUCUGAGCGUGAAGUGGGUAGCUAAUGCUGUAAUUUUACAGCUGUUGGUUGCCUUUGAUGAUCGUUCUUCUCUCUGUUUAUGGAGGGUUAGAGGGAGAGAAUACGAGCUGAGUGGU